Molecule: ribosomal RNA, 479 nt
Filed under: uncultured Verrucomicrobiaceae bacterium
Lineage: Bacteria; Pseudomonadati; Verrucomicrobiota; Verrucomicrobiia; Verrucomicrobiales; Verrucomicrobiaceae
Description: bacterial SSU rRNA
Rfam family: Bacterial small subunit ribosomal RNA
Source: RNAcentral
AAUGAACGCUAGCGGCGUGUUUAAGACAUGCAAGUCGAACGAAAUGGAAUUAGCUUGCUAAUGAAGUUUAGUGGCGGACGGGUGAGUAACGCGUGAUUACCUGCCAUAAAGAGGGGGAUAGUCCUGGGAAACUGGGUUUAAUACCGCAUGUGCUCUACGGAGUAAAGAGGGCUUCGGCUCUCGCUUUAUGAUGGAAUCGCGUCCUAUCAGCUAGUUGGUGAGGUAAAGGCUCACCAAGGCAACGACGGGUAGCUGGUCUGAGAGGACGAUCAGCCACACUGGUACUGAGACACGGACCAGACAUCUACGGAUGGCAGCAGUCGAGAAUCAUUCACAAUGGGGGAAACCCUGAUGGUGCAACGCCGCGUGGAGGAAGAAGGCCCUUGGGUUGUAAACUCCUGUCAUGUAGGAGUAAGUCAUAUUAGUUAACAGCUGAAUAUGAUUGAUAGUACUACAAGAGGAAGGGACGGCAAACUUCG